AAAUAACUAAACUCAUAAGCAAAUAGAGUAAAAAUGGGAGAGGGACAGAGUUGGGUCCAAAUUGGUUUCUGUCCACCUGGAUUGGUAUUCCCAUUUCCGUUUUGGGCUUUUAUCCCAUUUCCAAUUAGUACCUGUCCUAAUCUAAUCAUACAAUAAUCAAUAAAUGAAAGACAAUAAAAGCUUAAUCCCAAAAGAUAACAAAAUACUAUAUAAAAUGAACAAAUUAUGAGAUUUUGGCCGCAAGACUCCUACUCUUCAAUUAGCCUCAUAUUCUCCAAUUUCGGGGAACUUGUGCGUCAAUUGUAAGGCCGGAAGACUCGAUGAAAGAGAAUUGGGCCAUAAUGGCCUAGUAGGGAAAUAUGUAGAUAAGGACCAUAGGAGGCAGAUACGCGCACAUGCAAACAAAGGAGAAACAAGAAGUUAAUAUAUCAUUAAAAUUAAUGACAAGACAAAAACUUGAUUUAAUAGACAUAAUAUAAUUAAAGUAUUUCAUGCAGAAUCAUGUUGAGCAUAAAAGCUUGGAGGGAGUAUAUAAAGGGAGUAUUGAUCAUUUGGAACCGAUCAAAUUAUGGCCACGUAGGCAUACGAUUAACAAGUAACGAAAUAAAAAAAAGUAUAGACUUGAGAUAGAUAAUUCCAACCUUUCCAAUAUAAACGCUACUUAGUCGGUUGAACAGGGAAAAACUAGGUCAAGUUAUACUAUUGAACCCAUGAAUGGACACAUUCAACAUGAACACAAGACAAGGAUGUUUUCGGAGAUAUGAUCGAUCAACAUUUCUCAGACCCGACUUAUCAAUAACAAAAAAGGAACUAGUAUUUCUUUGUCAGAAUAACCAAAUGAGAUAACUUAGUUAUUUAAUUAUUGAAGCAAGCAUGUUAAAUAGAAACUCGACCAAACAUAUAUAACAUGAUAUUUACUGGAAAAAGUCACUAGUUUAACAAUGUUUACUACAAUGUAAACUAUGCCAAAACACAUAAAAUAUCCAAAGUAUGUUAUUUCCAAAUCAGACAAAGGUAAAGUAAAAAGAAAUGUUAGUAAAUUAAGGCAUUAUUACAGUAACAUUAAUGUGACUCAUCAAAUUCGAAAUUGAAACCAAAUAGACAGUAUACUUGUUCAAACAAAACCACAGAUUAGGCACAACUUGCUUAUGGCCCUAAAAAAAGAAACAACAGUUUAACCCAAAAUUAAAUUAUUAUAUUUUUUUGGCACAACGAGCCAACACAAACACCAAAAAUCAAAUGGCAUGCUAUUCCAAAAGGUAAGCAGAUCGAAAAGCAAAAAA
This 1283-nucleotide unclassified non-coding RNA is filed under the name Hevea brasiliensis (rubber tree). Lineage: Eukaryota; Viridiplantae; Streptophyta; Magnoliopsida; Malpighiales; Euphorbiaceae. The record is from RNAcentral.